CUCAUUGUAUAAAAGGCCGUCGCCAGGCAAGACUCAAAAUUAUGAACGACUUGUGUUUUUGGAAAUUAUGAGGAGAUAAGCCACCGUUUCUCAAACAUUAUUCCCGUUCGAGGCUCAGAUUACUUCCGCACCAGAAAACAUCUUAAUCCACAAAUUAGCAAAAAGAAGACUAUAAGUGAGUGAUCCUGAUCAGAUCUUGACUGAACAGAAUUUUGAGUAGAUGCCGGAAAAUGAAUGAGAACGAAUCUUCACGCAAGCGGCAAUCGGCAGCUAUCGGGCGGAAUGUAUCAGUGGAUGAACCUGUUCGAUCUCGAGAUUCAGGAGGCUCUAAAGGCUCUUCUUUAAUAGCUGGAAUAUUUGGGGUUGGUGCCUGUAUUGGUGUUGCUGCCCUUUUGGGCUGGAUUUUGGGAAAGAAGUCUUAGUCAUCUCCGCUGUAACUGCAGCUACUAUCCAAACGCUUGAAUGUGGUCUAAAAGCGGUGGACCUUCCAGCUUUGAACCAGAGAAAAACAUUUUCCAUUUCAGACAACAGACAUUUACUUUGCAACAUAUGGGGCCCCAAAGAGAGUCAACGACGGCAAACUUUGCGGGUAUUUGAGGUAGAAUUUAUAAAUUGUCAAAGGAAAGUGAUCAGCUUAAAUUCCUCAAUGUACUCUAAUUCAAGCCACUAAAAAGUACUUUUCAUGACUAAAUAGAAACGAAUAACCGAAGACAGUUUGGUUGUAAAACCUCAAAGAGUUAGGAAUGUUGGUUAAUACAAUAGCUUGAGGUGCCGUGUAACUGUUGGCGUCUUUAAUAUGAAAUGACAACAUUCCCACUAAAUCCAAAUUUCAUACAAUUUGUUACACCUACUAAAACAACCCUGUUCAUACUUUGGGUUAAAACUGUUAAAGGAUGUGAGUUCACAAUUUUUAUGAAUGUAUGUGCCCUUUGUUUUCAUGUAAGUGUUUAAGCGUUAGUAUUCCCUUUCAAUUUCAUUGGUUGUUAGACUACUACGAGUUUAUAUUCCUUAGAGGCAUUUAAAAAAAUUUUUGUUUGGCAUUAAGAUUGGAAGAAUCUGGGUGCGUGAUAUCAUUUUCAUAACAAGUCGGCGAGGGUGAUGUUGGCAUGAAUAAUUCACAAAAGACUUUUUUGUCGUGUUGUAAUAAUAAGAGACUUUCAAUUUUCGAAAUCAUUGAAAUGUGUAAGCCACAAACCAAUAUUACUGAGAAACAGCAUUGCGAGAGCCAAAAAUAAGCCUAUUGAUGGGCAGGUAACUAAAAAUGUACGUAAACAUGUUUUGAAAAGUUUGACUUGAAUAUCCAGCUAUGGUAGACAGAAUAAACCACAUGAGGAAAACGUGUACAAAUUAUUGAUACAUUUUUAAAACCAAAUGAACAGACAUGGACAUGCAGCCUCUCUUUUCAGAUCAGUUAAUUCGGUUCCAGAGGAGAUAUAGUGAAAGGAAAUGUGACAAAAAACAGUCUCUAGUUUCCAUUCUUUCUUUAUCAAUUUUUACUUACAUAAGUCGAUUUGAAACCACGUACCUUAUUCAAAACAACUUGGUAGACCUUCUAGUUUAUUUACCCUAAUAAAUUUGUAUCAUUUUCAAAGGUGAUUUCAACUGAUUUCACGUUAAAUACAAUAAAAAUUUUAUGAAGUAGAACCAUACUUAUGUACUCCAUUGAAAAAGUAAAUGCCGAAAAUUACGCAUAGCCUAUUUUUUCGGCACUAUGCAUGGGUACACUUGGAGUCGUCCUUUGUAAAUUGACAAAAUAGGGCAGCUGUGUAAUGGAAUCAUAUUAAAGCCACCAAUCAGACUCACAGCAAGAGAUUAAAAAUGCUGUGCAAUCUCUAACUUGAAGCAUUUACAUCAAUUAAUGCAGAAUUGAGUGGGUAUUUUUUGCUUAAAAAUCAAUGUCCAGAGUUCAACUAAUAACUAAAUAACAACUUAUUCUAACAUUAAUGAAAUGAGCUUAGUCACAGUAUCAUUCCUUAUCUACACUUUCCACAUACUACAAGCGCACAUUCCUGAAAUAUGGAAACAUGCCUCCAUUAUGCCUUAUAACAGGUGUAUUGCCAAAGAAAAAGUUUGAUUUGGGCUUUGUUAAAAUCACUGAACAUGUAUUCCCACUUAACGUCCAGUCACUGUAUUAACCUUAUUAACAAACAUCAUUAUUAGAAAUGACUCUGCUAAUGAGCCUAUUGACCAAUAGCGCCUCGUUUGGCUGACGUCAUAGAUGCAUGAUGCAGAUGUAGGUAUCAGAGUAGUGGUGGGUGUGGCAAACCAAAACCAGAGUAAUGUGUAAGGAAAAUUCAACAUGGCUGACAAAGAUGAUUAAUAUCGCGAUCGGAAAAAUAAGAAAAAGAAUGUUCCUUUAAUAAGGAAGUGGCAAUGAUCCACCACAAGAACGAAUAAGUAUAGGCUUCAGCUUACAAUGGUUUUUGAGUAAAAGUAUAUUUUGUAUAAAAUAAUUCUGGAGUGGUUCUUUCCUUUCUACUGCAAACGUUUUAGUGCCAGCAAAGUGCUUUUGAAAUGAUUGGUACAUUAUUAUUUCAGUUUUCAUGUUAAAAAUAGAAUUAGACAAAAGACUUUAAUGAAUUUGUUUACGAUAGUUUUGCAUGGUGUAACAAUAUAAAGGACAUUUCGAACUUGGAAUGGGCUGUCGAGACAUAUUCGGGGACAUUGAUCACUGGUGGUAAAAACCUCACGUUAGACGCGAUGAGUGCAUAAGUAGAACACCUCUCUCAAAAACACAAACAAACUCUAGUUCAUUUUAUCACUUCAAGAUAAAAUUCAUUAUUCUCAUCAGCAAGCAUACGUUUUGUAUUCUGGGUUCCAGGUUGCGGCCGCGAGCAGUCUGUUGUCAAUAUAGAGGCAAAUAGCUGUAAAUAGUAUUGAGUGCGCUAAGGACACCUGACCACCCCCCCAUGGCAAGAAUUCCAGACAAAAAAAACACAUAUCUCGAAUAUGUGGGUCAACCCUGAAAGUGUUACAUGGAACUCAAACUCGCGUUCUGCUACUGCCUCCAAAAAUCACUUCGGUAUAGCUCCUUGUUGCCGCUACAUGAAAAUAAACCUGCCGCCCCCCCCCUUCACCACCAUUGAAUGUCUGGGAGCGACGGGCAACAUUGCCUCGAUUUAAAAUAAAUAAACAAAUAGUUCAUAUGAAUGCUUUGAAUUUGCCCUUAAAGUGUUACGGUAACAAAUUCACGUUCAAUCUUUACAACACUACGCCAAGCACCCGCUAGUUCGUGGGGGGGGGUUCCAAUUCCGACCGUAUUUGCCAACGGUAGAAACAAUCAGCGUACUUUCUGAAAUUCAUUAUGAUAAGUAAUUUAGUAACGUAAUAAGAACUUCUAGUCAAGGAACCAAAUGAAACACACUGUGACUACCACCCAUUUGUUCCGAUGGGGCUAGUUUUCUGGUUGGCAAGCAUGCCAUGUUUUUUUAGCCCAGAGGAUGCCAAGCAUGGCAAGGAUUUGGGCAAGCGUGCCCCCAUUUUUAUGGAAAUGUAGGCUAUGCGUAAAAUUAUGAUUGAGAAACUAAAAUAAAGAAAAAGAUUAGCGGUAAA
Long non-coding RNA from Acanthaster planci (crown-of-thorns starfish), 3552 nucleotides. Lineage: Eukaryota; Metazoa; Echinodermata; Asteroidea; Valvatida; Acanthasteridae. The record is from RefSeq and is a predicted model, not a curated record.